RNAcentral lists this ribosomal RNA (210 nucleotides) under Triticum aestivum (bread wheat). RNAcentral describes it as "partial small subunit ribosomal RNA". The record is from RNAcentral. Lineage: Eukaryota; Viridiplantae; Streptophyta; Magnoliopsida; Poales; Poaceae.
AUGUACCAAAAGUACAUUGCCGAGUUGGACACGAUUACGCCUGAGCAGGUGGAAUGGCAGCCAUAUGGCGCCGAUGACAGACUUGGGUACACCCCGGAGUUUUCCAUCAACCCGAUGUGCUUGCGGGAUAGGGAUCUCUGGCUUAUGCGGUGCCCACUGAUAUGCAACUGGGCUGUUGAGUUUCAUUUGCCACAUCGCGUGUUUCGUUAG